AUACGUAGGGAGCGAGCGUUGUCCGGAAUCACUGGGCGUAAAGCGCACGUAGGCGGCUUGGUAAGUCAGGGGUGAAAUCCCACAGCCCAACUGUGGAACUGCCUUUGAUACUGCCAGGCUUGAGUACCGGAGAGGGUGGCGGAAUUCCAGGUGUAGGAGUGAAAUCCGUAGAUAUCUGGAGGAACACCGGUGGCGAAGGCGGCCACCUGGACGGUAACUGACGCUGAGGUGCGAAAGCGUGGGUAGCAAACAGGAUUAGAUACCCUGGUAGCCCACGCUGUAAACGAUGGGUGCUGGGUGCUGGGAUGUAUGUCUCGGUGCCGUAGCUAACGCGAUAAGCACCCCGCCUGGGGAGUACGGUCGCAAGGCUGAAACUCAAAUGAAUUGACGGGG
Molecule: ribosomal RNA, 393 nt
Filed under: uncultured bacterium
Lineage: Bacteria
Description: partial 16S ribosomal RNA
Rfam family: Bacterial small subunit ribosomal RNA
Source: RNAcentral